This 2425-nucleotide unclassified non-coding RNA is filed under the name Pomacea canaliculata. RNAcentral describes it as "uncharacterized LOC112576796, transcript variant X2". Lineage: Eukaryota; Metazoa; Mollusca; Gastropoda; Architaenioglossa; Ampullariidae. The record is from RNAcentral.
ACGUCACGCGCCACUGUGGUUGGUGUGAACAGAUAAAGCGGAUCUCUCGGCCCGCCUGUUGUUUUCUCAAGAAGCCUGCUACCACUUAGUAAACCUCUAGUUUACUUUUCACAGUUCGCGUGGAGUUACACAGUGUGUGUGUCUGGGUGUGCUGGCUCUGAAGUACCUCUGACUGGAAAAAUUGAAGUGUUAUUUCGUCCUCCGACCAGGCAUGUCGGACUUGGAAAGAACAUAUGAUGAACUGGGAUACACUCAAAACUUCACAGAUAAAAGUGCCAUCGACAUACUGGCAAAAACAGACAGCAACACGAUGGAAUAUAUCUUGCAACCUCCGAACAAAUACUGGUCGCUAGUAGCAGACACCAGUCGUGCUUGUACAGAAGAGGAGGUGGCAGAACUCCAGCGGUUUGUUGGCUGGGCCCUGCAACACGGCAGGUACGAACAGGUGUGCGUUGCCAUGCACUUGAUCGACAUUCAUGGGUUCACGAAUGCAUCUCUGCUCGAUGAUGUCAUGCGGCAUGUGGAGCAGAAGGAAGCUGGACAUUUAAUUCCACCCAGACUCUUGAUUCAAUGGGCCAAAGUUUUGCAGAACAAGGGAGACUUGCAUGGGGCGGUUAGGAGGCUGAACAUGGCGAGGAGUUUACUUGAUAAAGAAAAGGAUUCAACUGGCUGCUCAAAUGAAAUAGAGAAGAUUCGAGGAGAAUGCACACAGCUGACAGGACUCACUCUCAACAAAAUGUGUUGCUGGAAAGAUGCUGUCUACCCGCUGAUGGACUCAAUAGCAAUCUUUUCUAAGAUUGACAAUUCCAACAUGGCUCUGGUAAUAUCUCUUGAGAUGGUGGCCAAGUGCAUCUCCAGCAUUCCGCAUGAAGACUUCAUAGAGACAAAAAGCCAUCUUGACUUCAAGCACAAUGACAGGUUUUACCAGGCGUACUCCAUGUGUAAAGAAGCGGCGGGCUUGGCGGGUACCUCGGGGUUGCAGCAAGCUAUGGCGCAGAACCAAGCUGCAGAAGCGCUCCUGAGGUUCGCUGCUCAGCAUGGCACCUCCACAACAAGGUGGGCUUACCUCAGGAAGGUGAUCGAGGAAGUCCAGCUGAGUCUCCGGGCUCAUACAACAUUAUCCCAGCUCUUCCAGCGUGAGAACUUUUUCCAAAUAGUUCGUUCGCUGUUUCUUGUCCGUCUCGCACUUAGUUUUUCUGAUGCUAGUGAAGACCAAAUGUUUGCCAGCUGUCUAGAGGAGUGGGCUAUGAUCCUGUAUGGCGUCUACUGCCAGCAGCUUUGUCAAAAAGGUUUUUUGUCAACAUCACUCGACGUGGCUGACAACGUUCUUGUCAGAGAAGUCGUCCAAACUGUCAUAAACGAAUUUAAUUUAAAAAUAGAACUAGAACAGCCUACCCAGAAUCUGUCUACAGAAAAGAAUGUUAUACCUUCUCAAAUAAAAGAAUGUCAAACAUCUAUAGAGAAGAAAGACAAAUGCUUGGCGAUGCCAAUUGAAAAGAAAUGUGCGGAAUUGAGAGUCAGUGGGAGUCAGCCAAAAGAUUGGGUCGUCGACAGGACACCGAGGCAGCAGGAAGUGGGGUUAUCCAUCAUCCCUAGCGACUAUGACAUCCCACUGUGUGAUGUACCCCAUGGCAUAUUCCAGAACCUGUGUGGAUGCAAAUUCCGUGCCGAGCAGGUGACUGACCACACCCAAUUAUUUGAUGACCAUGCUGCUAUACAACAAAAGAAUGUCUUUGAUGCUGACGGGUGCGAAAGAGGAAAGGGUACGUCAGGUAAAGACUGCAUCACGCAGGACUCGGGGUACGGGUCAGCCUUGACACUAGUAGAAACAUUCUUGACGACAAAGCUGCUAGAGGAAAAAGAGACUGAUGAGUCAGAGUGUGACAGUGGCCUUGGUACUUCUUCCUUCAGCUCAGCUUCCAAGCACAGUUCAUACUCCAGUGACUACAGCUGCAAAGGAAGCUGCGGGUACUGUAAUGUCCAGAGCGCCAUCAAAAAUAUCAAACGGGCUCGCCUUUUCAAGUUCAAUCCAGUGACUGGGCUAUGGACGUGCCAGACUACACUGGUCUUUCUAGGGCCUCUUCUAUCACUGGAAGACAAGGUCAAAGGUCAAUGUCGGGAUGCCUUCGAUGUGCAGUUUCUGCACCAAGAUGAGGUCCUUGGAAGGUUAGGUAUGUCGGCAAAAGAUACAAGCGCCAGAAGCCAGCCAGCCAGUACCUGCGCGACCUGACAUGUCAGAAAAUUGCACGUUUCCUUGUCACGCUCUUUAACUUCGCCCUGAGGGAUCUCAGAUACGACAUUCAGGUGGUGUAUGUGCCAGUGGCACAUCUCCAGAUUAUCUCAGACAAACUGGAGGUUGAAGACUGGUUGAAUGUGGAGCCUUAUUUGGAGGGGGACUUCAUUAAGCUGACUAAUAAUCUUCAUU